UGUUAUGUGGAUUUAGACUGAGAUUCACAUUGUAGGAUUAAAUGCUUAAAUCUAGGAGAACAAUUCUGACAACCUUCCUAUCAAUACAGCAAACUCUGAAAAUAUAUAUUUUUUUUCUCUUAGUACCUCAGUUGCUGAAAACUAAUUUCACGCAUCAUCAUGGGCUGAAAAGCUAAAUGCCUGCUUUCUUUCUGCAUCCAGCUGUCAGUUCAGAGAUGUGCAGAGCAAAACUCACUCUCUCUAAGGCCCUGGAGAACUCUUCAAAACAAGAGAAGAUGUUGAUCAGUAGAAGAGAGCUGCUUCACUAAAGAAUCCCCACAUCACCUUUAGAAGCUUCAACUCAUUUGUAUAAGAAAAAAGUUGCAACUAGUUUUUUGCCUUGAGGACAGCACAUGAGGCAAGGCCAAAAUCUGUGCAGUGACUGUACUUCCAAGCAAUUGCAGAGAUGCUCCCCCCUGCAGUCCAGCUGGCUGGCCCAGAUUAGAAGAGUACGUUUCUCAGUGCUGGUGAGAAGUGCUUAAUUGAUAUUAACAUGGAUGGAAAUAGUCUGCUCUGUCAUGGGACAGACGUCAUUUGGUACACGUUCUUUCCCUCUAAUUGUAUAGUGUCCAUGCAACCUGAAAAGACCAUCUGUAGAUCUUUGAGAUUAGCGCAGGCCUGUUUAUUGUUUGGCUUUUCCAUUUCUUUCCUAACUGUCUGGAUCUGCUGUGCUAAUCGCCUUGAUAUGUGAAUGUCAAGGUUGCUUAGAUGUCCUAGCAAGCAGCAGAUAUUUAGCAUGCACUUAUUUCUAGUUCAAAGUAAGUCUAAGAACUCGCUGAACUGAACAGCCACACAAGGGGAUGACUUUCAUCAUCCAGACUGAGACAAGCUCUUUUCCGUAGUGCUGAACUCUUGCAGUCUGAACUCUACCACACAACCUGCAGAUUUUGCUCCAGCAUUUAGAGUUCAGGUUCAACAUCUUUCCUAAUGCAUCCCCCUCUCCCCGUUCAGGCGAAAACUUUGAAUCAUUGGAAUAGAACGAAGUUCAUGGAUGAUGAAAAAGGGUCAAAACAGUAGGUAUCUCCUGCAAACUGCUUUUUGAUACCUGGUAAAAUCUGGGACUACUUUUCAGUGAAAGAACAUCCUGUGCUUUAGCCUUGUCUUGUUAUACUCAUAGGAUUAGUACAGACAGAAGGUAAAGUGAAGAUGCCACUCAGAAUUGAUAGAGCAAUAACUUAUCAAUAGUAGUAUCAUCCUUUCACCAAACAGAAUAUAACGCAGAGAUGUGUCUUGUUUCUAUUAAUAUUUCAUAAACCAGCUGGUGCUACAAGAUCCAGCCAGUCCCAGUGAACUUCAUGUUAGCCUUUUUAUUAGCUUAUAAAUGUGAUAGGGUUGAUGGAUACCAUUUAAUGGAACGUUUUCUACUCUGCUUACCUCUCCCUUCCUACCCUGAAAAAUCUGACAUUCAUAAAUUGAGGAGGUCAGUAAUUUGCAUCCAGCUGAGUGGCUGUCUGGCUUUAAUGAGAUGAUUUGUAAUCAUAAGCACUGUACUGCAGUGGUGUCUGGUACAGAGGGAAGAGGAGCACGUAUGCAUACACCAGCUGAGAUGGAGGAGAGGUAACGGAAGAGAGGGAUAGGAGGAUCAGAAAACGGAAGCAAGGCUGGAAUGACAUAAAGAGCUCCAUUAAGUGUAAUACAAUAAUGCUGGACUAGUUAGCAUAAGAAGAGCCAGUAGUUGGCUGAUGCAAGCCAGUGAAACUCUCGUUACAUAGGUCAGGAAGGCUGAUUGCAGGAUUGUUCUUAUCCAGAGCUUCUUAGAGUAGCCAGAAAUAACAGGUUUGUUUUUACCAGCCUUAUACACUCAUGUCCUUAUUGCAUAGCACUAUCAUCCCUCUCCCAGUCUUUAUAUAACAGAAAUUUUCCAAACUUGGAAGACACUUCACAGGAUAAAGAGGUUAUGUGUUGCGUAGCUGGCAUGCUUCCCAUCAGCUGUAUUUUCAUAUUAUUUCCCUAAAAACAUGGAUCACGUAUGUGCGUGCUUUCUUCUGUCAUCUGAUAAAUUUUUAACCCACCAACUUUUUUACAUUCCAAUCACAAAAAACUGUGGCUAUGUCAUCAAUGAUAAAUUCCUGCAAGUCUCAGGCAGACAGGUAGGAGAGAGACAGAGACUCCACUAAUCCCUUCACUGGGGAGAAAAGAAUCCUUCAGUGAGAUAUUUUUAAUUCCCCAGAUUUGAUAAAAGCUUCAAUCGGCAUCUGUUUCAGAUCAGACAACUAUGAAUGUAACCACAGACAACCCGGCUACAUGAACUCUCCUGUACACACAACCACUUUCUCUGACUGACUGAGGAUUUUGUGCCUCCCAAAGAUUCCCUUUUUCUUGUUUCCAGGGUUUUUCUCCUCCAUAGUAGCAGUUCUCCCAGAUCAUCACAUGAUAUUUUUUCGUCAGGAAUCACAGCUGUGAAGGACUGUGUUUCCUUAACUGUGCCUCCAGCUGUCCUGAGUUAUUUCACAGCAGCCCAGCUGGGCUGGUGUAGGUUUUCUUACAGCUGCAAUGGAGUAUCUUGCAUCAGCUUUUAAGUUGUUAUUUUUUAAUUCAUUAAUUACAGUAGUUACAGCAAUGGAAAGGCAAGAGUGCAAGCUGUCUUGUCCUGCUACAGGAUCCUUCUGACUAAAAGAGACUGAAAUGAGGCACGGGCUGCUGCUUUGUCCUAACACACUGUCUCUCUGUGCAGUUUUUUGAUAGACAAUUGUUGUACAGUUCAUAGCUUGUCUAUAAGGGAUGUAUUUCCAGGACAACCUACGGUUAGGUCACUUUGGAAGGAAACAGACCUAUCAUCACAGCCCCCCUUUUUUCCUUUGCCAGUUCACAUCUUGUGACAUCCAGCUCUAGUUCACAUCACCUUUCUGAGCUAUGACCUCACAUCCCUUUCCUCACAUCCCUCUGGAGCAUGAACAUCCUUCCUUCCAAGCAAAAAUGAUCUUCUCUUUCUCCCUCUCCUGAGCUCCUUCUGUAAAACAUGCAGGCUUCAUGUGCUUCCUUCAUUGCAGAUGUUUGUGGCUGUGCAACAUAAGCCCUUCCUCCUCCCCGGGGAAACGUUACCUCUGUGUUAAGCAACAGAAAUUUAACUAGCAGAAAUGUGUGGGUGGUCUUCAGAAAUCAUGCCAGUAAACUCUUUCUUCACCACAUUUUUACUUACAACAGACAAAGAAGAAGCAACAGAGCUCUAGCCAGCAGACAAUAACAGUCUGCCUUCUGUUAAGACAGCAGGUGCCUUUACACACCCUAGGGAAAAAGCUCCCUCCAGGUAAGAGGAAUGCUCCUGAUCUCUUUUUGAGAAGGGCCCUAUCCAGGAAGCAGAUCCCCCAAGCCUCUCUCUUUCAGGCUAUGAUUCUAUUUAAUUCAAUCAGCAGGCCUGUGAGCAGACAGCCUCUGUGCAUAGCUUUUACACUGAGGGACAUGCUGCUUUGCCAGGUCCUUAAAGUUGCCUAUCUGCCAAGCUACAUAAAGAAUGAUUUGUCAGAAAAUAAUUAGUUGAGUAUAGUCUUAAUGUUAAGAACAUGAAUGAACUGCAGAUAGUAUAGAGGGUUGACAGGAAGGAAAUUCAUUCUUACUGUUUCUCUAAUGCACACUGUCUCCUCUUUGUCUAGGGAUUAUCCCACAGAUGUCACCUCCUGGCCAUCAAUGUGUUUUAGUGUAGCCAUUCACGCUAAGAGCAACCUUGAUACGUUCAUUGGUGCUGCUUUAUUGUUUUCUCAAUCAUGUUUCCUUGACUUGACUCAUCCUGUCCUUUUGAUCAAUAGCAGAUGUCACCCACCAUGAGACAUGUUUUGGACUGAUUUAAAGUGCUUGUUAGUACAAGCUUCUGAAUCGCCUUGCUGAGCUUCUUCUCUUUGAUGUUGUUGGCACUGGCUAAGGUCUUAGGUUGGGAUUUUAAAAGGAGCACAACAACUGAAGAACCCAGAACAUGGAGAGUUCUCCAGACCCUGUUGAAAAUCAGGAGUGUGAAGCAAGACUGCAAGAAAUUUACUUUCUUUCAAUUCAGUGAGCACAGAGGUGCUUUUUUCUUUUUCUUUUUCUUUUUCUUUUUCUUUUUCUUUUUCUUUUUCUUUUUCUUUUUCUUUUUCUUUUUUUUUUUUUUUUUUCCAGAGGUGCCUUUCAGAAGCUGUGUGCUUAGGCAUAUUUGGAAAUCCUAUUAGAAGCCAUUCAGCAUCUUUAUAUGCCUAAAUUCCUUUAAAACCUGACUCAGCAUACUGUGAUAUUCUUCUGUGUGUGAAAGCAGCAGCAUAAAGAGCAGGCUGUCAGUGAAUGACUGAUACUGUAUGAAUGUGUGGAAUACAAGCCAAAUCCCAAAAGAAAAAGCUCAUAUGUUACAGUCAUAUAACCCAGCCACUUGUUUCAUCAGCAGUUGUCGCAGCAAAGCUGUUAUUUCCUGGUUCAAGAGUCUUUAUCACUUCCUUAUCCGUGAUGAAUACUAUUUGAAUCCUACGAGGAGGAUUCAAAAGGCAAAUCAAAGUGUUAUUCAGAUACUGUGUAAAGUCAAGGAACGAAAAUGCUCCCAGCAGUGGCCUCUGUCUACUUGGACAUGUGGAAUGGAUAGCUGGAGUUCCUCACAUAAUUUAGGUUACAUUACCAUUUCCCUAAAAAAAAAAAUCCUCAGUCUGGAUUCAGUUUGCAUAAGUAGGAGCUUUAAAAGCUAAGUUGAAAACAUCUCAUUCCAUUCUUGCCAACAUCCAGCUGAAAGACAUUUCUGACCAUGAAUUGUAAUGGUGGAAAACAUUGGCUGAUUCCAUCAAAGUAAGAACGAGAAACAGGCAGACAGAUAGGCAAUUUCUGAGGAUAUAUAUCCUGUUUCCUGUGAUGGGCAGCUUUCUCAUUUAAAUUAUUCCACUAUAUACAUUCUCUAUUCAAGCAUGAAGUGCUCAUUACAAGUCUCAACAUAAAUAAUGUACACUUAAAAUGGUUCCCUGUGCCAUAAAUAUUGACCUUGGUUAAUAAUUGAUUAUGGGAUUAUAUAUCUACUUCUGUCAAACAGUACUGAUUGGAAGUUUUGCCUCUUCCCAUUAAGUUUCUUUACUUAUACUUCUGUAUUUUUUUUGAGAAGAUAUUAUGCUGAUGCCAUCAGUGCUUCAAAUGACACAUAGGUUUGUACAGGGGCAUAGAAUGCUUCUCUCCCCAGUUCUUGCUUGGUGUCUUCAGUCAUUUAAUUGCAAAAUAUGAAAAAGAAUCUUUUGAAUUUGUGUUAUAAUUUAAUCCACGAUUUCUCUGCAAAUGCUUGCUGUCAUCUUUCUUGUUCAUUUCUUGUGUUAACCCUAAUGUCAGAGUAUUAAGCUAUGACUAUCAUUCAUUUUGUGAGUCCGAUUCAUGAAAAGUAUUUCAAAGAGCAGACUGUGGACCAGAUUUGAUGCCUGAAAUGCUUGGAAGCCAAGACAUUCCUAGUAUAUGAAGCAUCUCAGCUUUAUGCUUGAUAAAUCUAUACUGUCUUUAUUGAGCAUUUGAAAUAUUCCAUAAAUUCGAGGAGGAAGAAAAACUGAAUGAUAGGAAAAUGAUGUCUGGCAGAGUUAAGAUUUCCAAUAUCAACUGCACUGAUUUCCAAACAGAUUGAGCCUCUGUGGUCCCUUCCUCUUUGAUCCUUAGGAUAAGAACAUGGGAAAAGUGACCUGUGUCUCGUAGUCCAACAUACUCUGUACAACUAAAAUGAGUUAUUUGCCUCGGCCUUGUAGAUAGGCUGAAAACUGCAUGCUAAGAUAAAAUGUGCUAAACAGCAAUUCUUUAAUAUUCAGAUACAAGUCAGCAGCAUUGAGGAAAAGCUUUGACUGCAGGAUUUGUGAAGAAAUUUCAUCAGAAUAUUUUGCCCUAUGAGUUCUGAUAGCACAUUCCUCUUCCGGACAUUUUGUAAAUAAGUGUCACUAAAAUUGCUCUGGCUCUUGUAGUUCCCCGUUUUUCCUUUUCCUCUGGCAAUACAGUUGCAGACAUUUGGUGUGGGAUCUGAGGCAUUGUAUGUAUUUAACUCUCUGCCUUUGUAAUUUAUAGUCCAAUGACUCUGUUUUGAAAUAGAGAUAUGGAGGUUGCUCUCCAAAAAGCAACAUCUAUUUAUGGGGACAGUGAAUACACAGUGUUAGAAGGUAACCAAAAUGUGCAGCAUUGUUUGCGAGUCCUUGAGGACCAAUAAAAAUAAUAGAACUGCAACUGUAAAUAGCUUAUUACAAGCAUUCAAUUUCUAUGCUUGGAAUUCAGGGAUCUGUCCAGGCCAUAAAAUUAAUCCUCAUUGCUUGCUGGACCUUGGAAGAAGGGUGCCUCUGCCAAAGGUCACUCAGUUCUCAGUGGUAGCAUCAGUGCUGAUUUGUUUCAGUUCCAUGCAUAAACAUUUACUGUUCUUCCUUACCAGUUGGGAUUGCUUGAAAUUGGAAUUUCAAUUUCCAAGGAUUGGAAAUAAGGGAAGAAGAAGUAACACAGCCUCUUCAUUACUAAGAAUUUUGCCUUAAGAAAAGGCCAAUAAAAGGACUAAGGCACUAAAACCAAAUAUGAGAUGGUCAAUUAAAGCAGAAUGCUGAAACAGUUUUGCCUUGGCCUAGUGUCUGAAAUAGAUGGUGAAGGAAUGAUGAAAAUUUGUGGUGAGAGUUAAAGUUAGAUAUGGGAAAAUAUGUUUUAUGUUCAACUAUAACUGUUUUUAUUUUUCACCAUGCCAAGAAUGAUUUUUGCAAUACUCUUUUCAGGGUUUAAUUUUUCUAAUUACUACGUGUUAAUCAAGAAUAUGCUGAAAUACCUAAAGGAGCCAAACUGCACAGUUUAUUUGCACAGAUUUGUGCCCAGGUUAUAAACUGCUGUAAUUCAACUUGCAUCAUUUUAAAUAUUUCAUUUUCUACUGUAUUUCUUCUUCUGAAACACAUAUCUCACAACUUAAAAACUGCUUUGUGGUCACUGGCUUAUGGGUGAGAGUUAAGGAUUGAGGCAACAAAGAGAGCCUUGUUUCUGGUGUUUACUACAGGCUGUUUGACCAAGCAAAGCCUAUUGGUGAAGCCUUCUUCCUCUAGCUACAGAAGGUAUUGUGACUGUGGGAUCUUGUCCUUCUGGGGAAAUUCAACUACCCUGACAUCUGCUGAAAAAGAAGCAUGGUGAGCUGUAGGCAAUUCAGGAUGCUCCUGGAGUGUAUCAAGGAUAACUUCCUGAGCCAGGUAAUAGGCAUCCCCACCAGGGGGAUGCAGUGCUUAACAAGCACUAGCGAACUGAUUGCUGACACCAGGAUUGGAGGCUGCCUGGGAUGUCGUGACAAUGUAAUUGUGGAGUUCACACUCUUGAGGGAUAUUGGACAGACAAAGAGUAAAAUCAGGAAGCUUAAUUUUACAAAAUCCAAUAUUCAGCUCUUUAGAGAGUUAGACAACAAACCCCGUUAGGAAUCUGUCCUCAAGGACAAGGGAGUGGGGCAGAGCUGGCACUCCCUUGUCACUUCUUUAAGGAAGUUUUCCUUAGGGCACAAGAGUUGUUCAACCCCAGAUGUAGGAAGUCAGGAAAGGAAGGUGAAAAAACAGCAUGGCUGAAGUGGGACCUACUGCUCAAACUGGAGAGCAAGAAGAAAACACACAAGCAGUGAAAGCAGGGACAGGUAACCUGGUAGGAGUAUAAGGAUGCCCCUAGACUGUGAGGAUACGGUCAAGAAUGCCAAGGUUCUACUGGAACUGGGAUUGGCAAGGGGUAAAAAAAAGAACCAGAAAGGCUUCUUGCAUGUAUAUAUCAACAAGAAAAAGCAGGGAAGAUGUAACCUCCAAGUGACAAAUACAGGCAGGCUGGUAACAAGAAGAAUGCUGAACCAAAAAAAAUUUUUUUGCUCAGUUUUCACCGGUAAUUGCUCUUCACACACCCCCCGAGUGGAUAAAUUUGACAAAGCUAAACUGCGUAGUCAUUACAUUCUACUUUUCCAACAGUGAUGCUGCUCAGUGGUACUGAGAUAUCUUAUUCCAGAACCCCAUCUUCCAAGAACAAAAACAGAGCUGUAGAUUCUCUUGAGAACCAACAUAAAGAAGAACUUCAAAGGUGGACAUGUUUCCCUCAGAGAUGAGAUUGAAGACACAGGCACAUGUGUGGUGCUCUGACAAGCAACUGGGCUGCUCUAAAACAGGCCUGUAUGCCAAAGGCCACUUCCUCUCCCGGUUGCUGGGAGUUUUGACCACUGACCUGCGCUAAAAUGGGCUGGUUUUAAUUAAAUUGUCACCUUUUUCGGUUCUCAAUCAUAAAAGGUACCAAAAAUGUAGAUAGUUGCCUAGAACUCUGUGAAGCCCAAGUGCUAGCAGCCUCCCACAGGCUUGGCCCAUAAGAGUUUGACAGUAGUGUAAUAGAUGUUUUUGUGGUCAGCCUAACCCACACUGUCUGCAUAACACCAAAGUGGAAAGUGGGUGAAAAGCUCAAGGAUACUCUCACUAGUAUAUUUUUAAACCUGUAAGUAGUAUCCGCUGCUGCUU
Molecule: long non-coding RNA, 8435 nt
Organism: Tympanuchus pallidicinctus (lesser prairie-chicken)
Lineage: Eukaryota; Metazoa; Chordata; Aves; Galliformes; Phasianidae
Exons: 3
Source: RefSeq, a predicted model, not a curated record